RNAcentral lists this microRNA precursor (111 nucleotides) under Chlorocebus sabaeus (green monkey). Its description in RNAcentral is "miRNA (ENSCSAG00000019993.1)". Lineage: Eukaryota; Metazoa; Chordata; Mammalia; Primates; Cercopithecidae. The record is from RNAcentral.
UAUUAUGCAAAUUGACUUUCCACUUGGCCGGCGCCGUGUUGUCCGCUCCUUUUUGUACACGUGACUGGCAAAGAGAAGGGAACAUGGAGCCACCAUUCUGAACAUGCCUAG